CGGGCUGUAGCGCAGUCUGGUAGCGCGCUUCGUUCGGGACGAAGAGGUCGUGGGUUCGAAUCCCGCCAGCCCGACCA
Molecule: transfer RNA, 77 nt
Filed under: Verrucomicrobium sp.
Lineage: Bacteria; Pseudomonadati; Verrucomicrobiota; Verrucomicrobiia; Verrucomicrobiales; Verrucomicrobiaceae
Also listed under: 5 other names
Description: tRNA-Pro
Rfam family: tRNA
About the family: Transfer RNA (tRNA) molecules are approximately 80 nucleotides in length.
Source: RNAcentral